RNAcentral lists this ribosomal RNA (492 nucleotides) under uncultured bacterium. RNAcentral describes it as "partial 16S ribosomal RNA". It matches the Rfam family "Bacterial small subunit ribosomal RNA", at positions 29 to 507 of the family's 1533-position model. The record is from RNAcentral.
AGUGAACGCUGGCGGUAGGCCUAACACAUGCAAGUCGAACGGCAGCACAGUAAGAGCUUGCUCUUACGGGUGGCGAGUGGCGGACGGGUGAGGAAUACAUCGGAAUCUACUUUUUCGUGGGGGAUAACGUAGGGAAACUUACGCUAAUACCGCAUACGACCUACGGGUGAAAGCAGGGGAUCUUCGGACCUUGCGCGAUUGAAUGAGCCGAGGUCGGAUUAGCUAGUUGGCGGGGUAAAGGCCCACCAAGGCGACGAUCCGUAGCCGGUCUGAGAGGAUGAUCAGCCACCCUGGAAGUGAGACACGGUCCAGACUCCUGAGGGAGGCAGCAGUGGGAAAUAUUGGACAAUGGGCGCAAGCCUGAUCCAGCCAUACCGCGUGGGUGAAGAAGGCCUUCGGGUUGUAAAGCCCUUUUGUUGGGAAAGAAAAGCAGCAGGUUAAUACCCCGCUGUUCUGACGGUACCCAAAGAAUAAGCACCGGCUAACUUCGUG